Non-coding RNA from Triticum urartu, 135 nucleotides. The record is from Rfam. Lineage: Eukaryota; Viridiplantae; Streptophyta; Magnoliopsida; Poales; Poaceae.
CAAAUACUCCCUCCGUCCGGAAAUACUUGUCAUCAAAAUGGAUAAAAGGAAAUGUAUCUAGACAUAUUUUAGUUUUAGAUACAUCUCUUUUUAUCCAUUUUGAUGACAAGUAUUUUUGGACGGAGGGAGUAGAAA